Molecule: ribosomal RNA, 216 nt
Filed under: uncultured bacterium
Lineage: Bacteria
Description: partial 16S ribosomal RNA
Rfam family: Bacterial small subunit ribosomal RNA
Source: RNAcentral
UGGGAACGUACCUUUUGGUUCGGAACAACACAGGGAAACUUGUGCUAAUACCGGAUAAGCCCUUACGGGGAAAGAUUUAUCGCCGAAAGAUCGGCCCGCGUCUGAUUAGCUAGUUGGUGAGGUAACGGCUCACCAAGGCGACGAUCAGUAGCUGGUCUGAGAGGGCGAUCGGCCACACUGGGACUGAGACACGGCCCAGACUCCUACGGGAGGCAG